AGAGUUUGAUCAUGGCUCAGAACGAACGCUGGCGGCGUGCCUGAGACAUGCAAGUCGUGGGAGUUUAACGUAGCAAUACGGAUAGUCCGCCGGCGCACGGGUGAGUAACACGUGGGCAACCUGCCUUGUAGCCUGGGAUAACCAGUCGCCAGACGGACUAAUACCAGAUAAGACCACGGGAAGGUCACUUCCUGAGGUCCGAGAUGGCCUCUGCUCCUGCAAGCUAUUACUACGAGAUGGGCCAGCGUCCUAUCAGCUAGUUGGUGAGGUAACGGCUCACCAAGGCUAAGACGGGUAGCUGGUCUGAGAGGAUGGUCAGCCACACUGGGACUGAGACACGGCCAAGAGUCCUACGGGAUGCAGCCAACAGGAAUAUUGCGCAAUGGAGGCCACUCUGACGCAGCGACGCCGCGUGGGUGAUGAAGGCCUUCGGGUCGUCCGGCCAUGUCGGGAGGGAAGCCACGCCUUAUGGCUAAUAUCCGUGAGGCCUUUGACGGUACCUUCCGAGGAAGCACCGGCUAACUCCGUGCCAGCAGCCGCGGUAAGACGGAGGGUGCGAGCGUUGUUCGGAUUGACUGGGCGUCCGGGGCGUGUAGGCGGUUGGUCAAGUCUGAUGUGCCAGCCAGGAGCUUAGCUCCGGAAGUGCAUUGGCCACUAGCCAGCUAGAGCGCGAUAGAGGAGGGUAGAACUCCUGGUGUAGCGGUGCCAUGCGUAGAUAUCAGGAGGAAUACCGGCGGCGAAGGCGGCCAUCUGGCUCGUUGCUGACGCUGAAACGCGCCAGCGUGGGGAGCCAACAGGAUUAGAUACCAUGGUAGUCCGCGCUGUCCGCUAUGAGUACUAGAUGUUCGGGGUGUUGACCACCUGAGUGUCGCAGCUAACGCAUUAAGUACUCCGCCUGGGGACUACGGCCGCAAGGUUCCGACUCCGAGGAA
RNAcentral lists this ribosomal RNA (932 nucleotides) under uncultured bacterium. RNAcentral describes it as "bacterial SSU rRNA". It matches the Rfam family "Bacterial small subunit ribosomal RNA", at positions 8 to 909 of the family's 1533-position model. The record is from RNAcentral.